Gopherus flavomarginatus (Mexican gopher tortoise) is the source of this 3678-nucleotide long non-coding RNA. RefSeq lists it as uncharacterized. The transcript has 6 exons. The record is from RefSeq and is a predicted model, not a curated record. NCBI's taxonomy places the organism in Eukaryota, Metazoa, Chordata, Testudines, Testudinidae.
CGAACAGGUAACGGCGGCGCUGGAGCAGCCGAGCCGGGGGCCCCAAUCCCGCCCCCUCCGCGAAGCGAUGCGGGGUGGGGGCCAGACCCCGAGCCCACCCCCAUGGAAGUCAGUGAGGGCAGCUCAGAGCCAGGUUUUUCAACGGCGUCGUUGAUUGUGGGGCCGGGAGGACGCUGUAUACGUGGGUGUGGAGUAGAGGGGAAGGCUUGAUCCGUCAGCCCUUAUUUAUGUGAACGAUUAUACUAUGGCUCUAUGGGACUUCAAUAGGACAAAUCAUACCAGCAGCAACUGCAGAAUUAGGCUUUGUAUUUGGAGAUGCAUUAAGAUUAUCAACAGAGGAACAAUGGAAGUACCAUUUCUCUCCCUCUCUGAUGUGCAUAAGGGACAAGUUGAUUAUUAUGACAUUUCCUCUUCUCCCCUUGCCUCCAUUAGCCAUCGCAUAGACUUCAGCAUCAGAAGAUGCAUGCACAGCACCAUGGCCACGAAUCCAUGCAUGUGGAGAUGGUUCUUAUUGUCAUUGCAACCUUGGUAGUGGCACAGAUUGUACUGGUUCAAUAGCAGCAAAGGCACUGCAGGUCAUACAAUUCACCAUCCACACCUAACUGAAGGGAUGAUGUAGAGAAGGAUCCAAAGAGAGUCUGAAGCUUUGAUUGAGCAAGGUGCUUCUGCACAUGACUAACUCUGAAGGAAGUAUCAGAGGGGUAGCCGUGUUAGUCUGGAUCUGUAAAAGCAGCAAAGAGUCCUGUGGCACCUUAUAGACUAACAGACGUUUUGGAGCAUGAGCUUUCGUGGGUGAAUACCCACUUCGUCAGAUGCACUUCUGAAGGAAGGAUGGUCCAGUGAUUAGGGCACUAGCCUGGGACUCAGGAUACCUGGGCUCCACCACAGAUUGCUGUGUGUUCUUGGGCAAUUCGCUUAGGUCCAGAUCCCCAAUCAGUGGAAGUUAGGAGCCUAAAUAUCUUUGAGGAUCUGGACCUCAGGCUCUCUAUGCUUCAGUUCCCCAACUGUGAAAAUAGACACAAUACCCUACCUCCUGAGGGUAUGUGAGUGUAACUGCAUUAAAUAUUGUGAAUUGCUCACAUACUAUGGAAAUGGGGGCCCUAUAAGUAGGGUGACCAGAUAGCAAGUAUGAAAAAUCAGGACAGGGGUUAGGGGGGUAAUAGGAGCCUAUAUAUAAAAAAGUACCAGAUAUUGGGACUGUCCCUAUAAAAUCGAGAUAUCUGGUCACCCUAUCUAUAAGUACCUGAGACAGAACUUUAAGCAUGUGCGCAAGUCCACUGAAGUCAAUAAGUCUCUUGUAAGUAGCUCUUUCCCACUGGGAAUUUGUCCUUGGAAAUGAAUGAUCCAGGCCAAAGCCCUUGUUAGUUUGUAUACUGAUAUCAUGAGUUUUGGUGCCAAGAAGUUAGUGCACAUUGACAUCAGUAAUCACUUCCUCAAUCUUCCUUGACCGCUUUCCAACAACUUACCCGUCUUGGAGAGAUUUUAAAUUUGGUAUGUUGAAAAUCCCCUAGUUUUCCCUCUCUUCUUGUAUUGGUUGAGGGAGGAUAGAGUCACAGUUUAAUAUGAUUUACAGUCGUGUUUUGACAGAAAAAUAUAGAAAGAGGCUGAUUCACCACUGCCUUACUUCAACCUCAUGCUGGAGUUAUUUUGUUGAUUUCAGUGGAAUUACAAUGGCAAAAACUGGAAUAGUAAAGUGGUGAUUAGUCCCUAAAAGUACACCUUACAAAAAUAAGGAACUGUAAUAAAAAAAUUUUAAUAAUGGAAGGAGCUGUCAAAAUGAAAAGCCUUUAAUGGGAUUGCAAAGAUUGAGUGAUGAAUUUGGCUCCAUGUCCACAACUCUGAGCAUUCAUACCAAUAUUGUCUGUUGAAAUCAGUUUCUCAGAGGUAGAGAAACUGCUGUCCCACCACCAGUACAAACACAGAGCUGAGCACUAAAUAUAUAUAGAGUUGUUGAGCUUUUAUAAUGGCCCCUCUUGGAAUGAGCAAAUCUCCGAUAGUGCUAAGAAACAUACAUUUUGCAUUAUCCUUUCAUUACUCUCCCUUACAAUACUCUAAAGCUAGUCAUUGGUGAUGGAUCACUCUGUCAGUGACCAAAACUUCCAGUAGUAUACUAGCUCUUGUCCUAUGCCAUGUGUUGCUUACUAGGAUCUACUUUUUGAAACUUUAGCCUCAACCAGUAGUUAAUCACAUUUAAAACUCUAUCUGGUUGGUAGGUGAUUAUUUUAGUGGCCCUAAUACUCAUUCAUAUGAUCUAUCUUAUAUUCACCUUAUAGAGAACCCACUUCAGCUACAAGCAUUAAAUCAGGUUUUAGUGAGGGGGGUGUUUUUUUAAAUGUACAACAACAGAGGAGGGCAAACUAAGGCCCAUGGGCUGGAUCCACACCAUCAGGGCUUUGGAUCUGGCCCACAGGAUUGCCAGCGCCGUGGCGGAGCGGGAAUGAGGCAGGCUUCCUGCCUGCCCUGGCCCCAUGCCACUCCCGGAAGCAGCUGGCACCACAUCCCUGUGGCCCCUGGGGAAAGUGGGGGGCAUAGGGCUCCACGCUCUGCCCUUGCUUGCAGGCACUGCCCCCGCAGCUCCUAUUGGCUGGAAAUCGGGAACCGUGGCCAAUGGGAGCUUCAGAGGAGGUAGAAUCAUAGAAUAUGAUAGGUACCCACAAGUGAGCGCUGUGCAUGGAGCCCUCUGUCCCCCUCCCCUCCCCUCCCCUCCCCUCGAGGCUGCAGGGACGUGGUGCCGGCCGCUUCUGGAAGCAGCACAGGGCUAGGGCAGGCAAGGAACCUGCCUUAGCCCCACUGCGCACCAGUGUCACUCCGGAGCCGCUCAAGGUAAGUGGUGUUGGGCUGGAGACUGCACCCUGAACCCCUCCAGCAUCCCACACCCCAACCCCCUGCACCUCUCCUGCACCCUCAACCCCCUGCCCUGAGUCCUCCAGCACUGCCACACCCCUCCUUCACCCCAAUCCCCUGCCACACCCCUCCUACACCCCAACCCUUUGCCCUGAGCCCCUUCCUGCACACAGCACCCCACACUCCCUCCCCCACCUCAACCCCAACCCUAUUUAAGUGAUGAAUCAUAGUCCUGUGGCAAUGACCAGAUCUUCAAAUCCAGUAAUAACGGAAAUGCAGUGAAAAGAAGCAGAAUCUCCGUCUAUAUAAACCGUCAUACCAGAAGUUGAAGCUAAUUUUGGACUUGGUUGUGGCAGUUCUACUUUAUGCUCUGCUUAGCUGAGAAAAUAAUUUAGUUUCACAGCCGUGCUCAUCUAUUUUUACAAGGCUGUUAAUGUUAAUUGUACUGUCUCAAACAGCAGAUAGUGCAGAGCAUUAAUUCCACAUUAGAUAACUUCAGAGAAUUUUUCAUUAAUAUAUCUUGUAGCUUGUGAAAAAGAAUAGCUCUACACCAUAUGGCAAGUCCGGGCACAUUUAAAUUGGCCUCCUCAGUGGCACAGUUGCCAACUUUCAUAUGAUAAAUAAACACCCUGACUUUCACGAAAAACCAAAAAUCAAACUAAUCCCAUUUCAAAACAAGCCAAGCCCUAAGAACCCCAACCCUCUAUGUGACUUGAUCCCCCCAGCAUGCAGUCUGAGACUAUGGUGGACCCGCUGUGCACCUCUGACUCUCUCCCCCUUUGCCCCUGCUUGCUGGGAGCCAAUUUUAAAAAAAGCAGCAUCAAACUACAAGAA